This 200-nucleotide ribosomal RNA is filed under the name uncultured bacterium. Its description in RNAcentral is "partial 16S ribosomal RNA". It matches the Rfam family "Bacterial small subunit ribosomal RNA", at positions 8 to 198 of the family's 1533-position model. The record is from RNAcentral.
AGAGUUUGAUCAUGGCUCAGGACGAACGCUGGCGGCGUGCCUAACACAUGCAAGUCGAACGCGCUCCAUUCGGUGGCAACACCGAUGAAGAGCGAGUGGCGAACGGGUGAGUAGCACGUGAGCAACCUGCCCCGAAGACUGGGACAACACCGGGAAACCGGUGCUAAUACCGGAUAUCCCUGUCGGACCGCAUGAUCCGA